This 916-nucleotide ribosomal RNA is filed under the name uncultured marine archaeon. RNAcentral describes it as "bacterial SSU rRNA". It matches the Rfam family "Archaeal small subunit ribosomal RNA", at positions 1 to 922 of the family's 1478-position model. The record is from RNAcentral.
UCCGGUUGAUCCUGCCGAAGGCUACUGCUAUUGGAGUUCGAUUAAGCCAUGCGAGUCUAAGGGAUCUUCGGAUCCCUGGCGUAAUGCUCAGUAACACGUGGAUAAUCUACCCUCAGGUGGGGCAUAAACCCGGGAAACUGGGGCUAAUUCCCCAUAGAUACAGAUCGCUGGAAUGCUUCUGUAUUCAAAGCUCCGGCGCCUGAGGAUGGGUCUGCGGCCUAUCAGGUUGUAGUCAGGGUCAAGACCUGACUAGCCAGCGACGGGUAUGGGGUGUGAGAGCACUUGCCCAGAGAUGGUUUCUGAGACACGAAACCAGGCCCUACGGGGCGCAGCAGGCGCGAAAACUUCGCAAUGCGGGAAACCGUGACGAGGGAACUCCAAGUGUCUAUGCAUUGCAUAGACUGUUUUUUAGCCUAAAUAGCUAUUAGAGUAAGGGGUGGGCAAGACCGGUGCCAGCCGCCGCGGUAACACCGGCACCCCGAGUGGUAGCCACUAUUAUUGGGCCUAAAGCGUUCGUAGCCGGUUUGGUAAAUUCUUGGGUAAAUCGUACCGCUUAACGGUGCGGAUUCCGGGGACACUACCAGACUUGAGACCGGGGGAGAUCAGAGGUACUUGCGGGGGAGCGGUGAAAUGUUGUAAUCCCGCAGGGACCACCAGUGGCGAAGGCGUCUGAUCAGAACGGCUCUGACGGUGAGGAACGAAACCCUGGGGCGCAAACGGGAUUAGAUACCCCGGUAGUCCAGGGCGUAAACGCUGCUGACUUGGUGUUGGGGAUCCUACGAGGAUGUCCAGUGCUGGCGCGAAGGUAUUAAGUCAGCCGCCUGGGGAGUACGGUCGCAAGACUGAAACUUAAAGGAAUUGGCGGGGGAGCACUGCAACGUGUGGAGCGUGCGGUUUAAUUGGAGUCAACGCCGGG